AGUACCGUGAGGGAAAGGUGAAAAGCACCCCGGGAGGGGAGUGAAACAGUACCUGAAACCUUGUGCUUACAAGCAGACAUAGCCCGUUAAAGGGUGGUGUCGUACUUUUUGUAGAACGGUCCGGCGAGUUAUAGUAACUGGCGAGCUUAAGGUAUUCAGUACCGGAGGCGAAGGGAAACCGAGUGUGAAUAGCGCGUGAAGUCAGUUGCCAUAGACCCGAAACCAGGUGACCUAGCCAUGUCCAGGAUGAAGUGGAGGUAAAGCUCCAUGGAGGUCCGAACCCACGUACGUUGCAAUGUCCGGGGAUGAGGUGUGGCUAGCGGUGAAAUUCCAAACGAACUUGGAGAUAGCUGGUUCUCCCCGAAAUAGCUUUAGGGCUAGCGUAGGUAAUGAGUUUCACGGAGGUAAAGCACUGUCUGAGCUAGGGGGCGAUAAGCUUACUGAACUCUAACAAACUAAGAAUGCCGUAGAAAUGCUUACCUGCAGUCAGACUGCGAGUAAUAAAAUCCGUGGUCAAAAGGGAAACAGCCCAGACCCACAGCUAAGGUCCCAAAUAUACGCUAAGUGGAAAACGAUGUGAGAUUGCAUAAACAACCAGGAUGUUGGCUUAGAGGCAGCCACUCGUUCAAAGAGUGCGUAAUAGCUCACUGGUCGAGUGAUCUUGCGCGGAAAAUUUAACGGGGCUAAGCGUAUAACCGAAGCUUGGGAAUGUCGAAAGACAUUGGUAGGGGAGCGUCGUGUAUGGGGUGAAGUCGCAUCGGAAGGAGCGGUGGACUGUACACGAGUGAGAAUGCCGGAAUGAGUAGCGAGAAUUAUGUGGGAAUCAUAAUGGCCGAAAAUCUAAGGUUUCCUGGGGAAGGUUCGUCCGCCCAGGGUAAGCCGGGAGCUAAGGCGAGGCCGCGAGGCGUAGUCGAUGCACAUACGGUAGAAAUUCCGUAGCCACCUCACACGAGAAAGCUGACACAUGGAGAUAGUCGAACCCGGCCGUUGGUCGCGCCGGGCGAAAGGGACCGAACUUAUAGUAGGGAAGUCGAUGAUGCUCUGUGGCGAGAAAAGGCGAAGUGAGGUGCCCGUACCGCAAACCGACACAGGUAGAUGAGGAGAGAAUCCUAAGGCCAACGGGAGAAGGGUUGUUAAGGAACUCGGCAAAUUGGUCCCGUAACUUCGGGAGAAGGGACGCCCUCGAAAGAGGGUCGCAGUGAAUAGGCCCAAGCAACUGUUUACCAAAAACACAGGUCUCUGCUAAAUCGAAAGAUGACGUAUAGGGGCUGACGCCUGCCCGGUGCCGGAAGGUUAAGAGGAGGGCUUAGUGGCAACACGAAGGCUUGAAUUUAAGCCCCGGUAAACGGCGGCCGUAACUAUAACGGUCCUAAGGUAGCGAAAUUCCUUGUCAGGU
Molecule: ribosomal RNA, 1396 nt
Filed under: human gut metagenome
Description: bacterial LSU rRNA
Rfam family: Bacterial large subunit ribosomal RNA
Source: RNAcentral